RNAcentral lists this long non-coding RNA (4957 nucleotides) under Brassica napus (rape). Its description in RNAcentral is "long non-coding RNA (BNAP_LNC000013)". Lineage: Eukaryota; Viridiplantae; Streptophyta; Magnoliopsida; Brassicales; Brassicaceae. The record is from RNAcentral.
CAACAAUAAAUUCACCGGUCAGUUUCCGACCGCGGUAGUUGGUAUGCCUGGUUUGUCAUUUCUUGACAUCCGUUUCAACUCUUUCUCCGGUUCAAUCCCACCACAAAUCUUUGGUCAGAACCUCGACGUUCUCUUCAUUAAUGACAACACCUUUACUGCGAGCCUCCCGGAGAUACCUGGCGAUAGUCACAUCCUUUUUCUAACUUUAGCAGACAAUAAGUUCAACGGUCCUCUCCCGAGAAGCAUCCUAAGAUCUAUGACAACGUUAACCGAGGUACUUUUCUUGAAUAACGACUUUACGGGUUGUAUCCCUUACGAAAUCGGGUUACUCAAGGGAGCAUCAGUUAUCGAUAUCAGUGGAAAUAAGCUCACAGGUCCUUUACCCCUUUCACUUAUGUGUCUAGAGAAAGUGGAGCAGCUCAACUUUGCUGGGAAUCUCUUGUUUGGGGCAAUCCCAGAUGCAGUGUGCAUGUUCCUCCGAGAGAAUCUUGUCAACUUUUCCUUGUCUGAUAACUAUUUCACACACGUGGGGCCAUGGUGUAAGAUUUUGGUUGAAAGAGGUGUUCUUGAUGUUAGGAAUAACUGUAUUCCUUUCUUCCCAGGACAAAGAUCUAUUGAAGAAUGUGCGGAGUUCUUUGUCAAACCUAAUUACUACUGUCCUCACGCAUGGUUUCAUAGUUUUCUUCCUUGUAGAUAUUCUCACAUAUCUUCUUCCUCUGCUAGUGAUUUUAUGCCCAUGGUGGCUCCCUCACCUUGAUGUUCAUCAUCAUAUAUAUCAGCGUGUUUGUUCUCUUCAUUGUAAUGAAAAUAAUCGAAUUAUGUUUCCACCAACAAAAUCAUGGUAAGAGAAGGCCAAGAGUGGUGUUGUGUUGGGAAUACAAGUAUAAUCUUGUAUUUGUUAACUAGUAUAUGAUUUCCAUGUCCAUUAAUGAAUGUGUCAAUGCCAUUUGCGUAUAGUAGUCACGAUUCGUGAUACAAAGAAAAUUCUAUUGUUUUUAUGGUUAAAUAAGACGAAUUGAUAGUUGAGUUAAUUAAAAGCAAUGCCACAGUGUUUGCCUGUAUUAAUAAAUUGAUGAUUAUAAGUACAAAAAGUGUUAUAUUAAUACGUAGACUUAUAUAGAGAUAAAAAAGAAAAAAUAUAUAUAUAGUGAGUUUGUUUGAAUGUACACCGUAGGGAUAGCGAUAACGAUAUAAUUGCGAGUAAUGUAAUAAUGUAAGUGGUCCUACUCAUGGUCUAUCAUAUAAAAUUAUAAAUCAUGUGAAUGGGCAUUUUUCCUCCACGUCUAUUGCAUUUGAUGGGUUAAAUGUACCAAAGAUAAAGAGGGGUGACCAAAGGUGACCCCUUCCUACCAAACCCAUUAACAUUUUUCGUCAACUAAUCAUUUAUAAUUUUCUUUUUCCAAUCACAAUAGACUGCAUCCAGCUAAGAAAAGGCAACCCGCAGCUACGAAAUAACAUUUAACUUACCUAUCUAUCUAUAUAUAAUACUCCAUCCGUUUUUCAAUCCGUUUUUCAAUAUAAGUCGUUUUAAAGAAACUUUUUUGUUCCAAAUUAUGUCGUUUUUGGUUUUCUAUGUAACAUUUAUUAAUAAUUAAUGUUGUCUGACCAAUGAUAAUAUAUCUUCUAUUUUUCUAUUGGUUAAAUUGUGGUUUGGUAAAUAAUUAAUGAUGUUUUUGUUUUGAAAAUAUAAAAAAUUAAUGAUUUUCUUAAUCUAUGUGCAUAGCUUUAAAACGACUUAUAUUAAAAAACGGAAGGAGUAAUAAAGAGGGGUUUUCUCUCACCACAGGCUGCCAGAUCAGCAAGGAGGAGGUAGCGUUUUUGGACAGGUGUAGCCUCAGCAAACCAACUAUAUAUGUGUAAUUCCGGUCUUAUUCGAACUGGACUUUUAUUAAAAUUUGUUAUUAAGCCCAAUAUUAUGUUAAGCCCGCGUAUUAUUAGCUAUCUUACUUCCCUGACACAAUUUCCAGAAACUUAAAUCGACGUUCAGAUCUCCGUAUCGCCUCAGCUUUCCAUUAAUCUGUUCUUAACUCAGAGUUUUUGCGUGAUCCACUCCUCUCACUGGAAGCUUUCAAUCGAUCCAGAAACAUAUUUUGUUCUAGGGACGAUGGCGACCAGCUUUCAGCCGGUCGAGUUCUUCGCAGCUGGUGGUCACGCUUUCGUUUUCACGGAGGCACCUAAUCUAUAUUAAUAAGAAGGGAGCUAAUGGGUUGAUAUCCUCCUCAAUGAUGAAAAGAUUGUCCUCCUCAUCUUCCCUCGCCUUCCUUUUCCAAUAUAAACUGCCAUCACCUAUUAUCUUAACCAUAAUAUAUUUAAUUUUAUUGAGUGCUUUUUAUAUUUAUGGUUAAUUAUAGGUUUGGAAAUUUCAUAGAGGUAUUCCAAAUUUCACAGAGAUUCAGUCCCAUAUGUUCCGUUUGAUUUGGGUCUAUGACUUUUAAAUUUUUUGUUUUUGUUAAGGAAAAGGGAUGAUGAUAGACGCGCUGCUUCUGCUGUUGCCAAAUUGAUGAUAGACGCGCUGCCUCAGAGCGUGCUGCCAAAUUGAUGAUAGACGCGCUGCUUCUGCUGUUCCUGGCUCUCGCAAGACGGUGACUUGAGGCUGCGCAAGCUCAGGUUUGGCUCCUUUGAAAUCUGUGUGUUCUUUGGUCGUUUAUAUUUUCAGUGCGUUAAGGUGUUAGCUUCUGCUUCUUGAUUAGUUUUAAACAAAGUGUGGAGUAUGUUACAACAAUCAAGCAGAAAAAUUCAAGGUAGACCGAAAGUUAGAUUCUUUGAUGUGUGAAUCUGUGGCUAUGAUGUAUUAAAACAUUUUGGUUUGCAGGAACAAAUUGUUACCAUGAAGUUAAGAUCGUAUGGAUAGUUGGAAUCUCCUAUAGUUGGAACCUCCUUUGCAGCUGAAGAAUAAGCCUGUCGCUUCAAGUUUCUUACACACAGCUCCUCAUCAUGGGAACUUCGUAGACUCUGCUUCUGGUGGUUAAAGUUUUCAUUCAUAAACAUCGGAAUAACAAAGGAAAAUUUUGACUUUUGAGAUUCAGGUUCCAUGAGCACUAAAGUUUGGUUUUGGAUAGGGAGUUUAGGUAAGACGUUCCUGACUCUUGAUCGACGCACAUGGAAAGUCACUGCAGACGUAGCUGAAGGCGACACUGACGAUAUCAACCAGGCGGUGAAAGCUGCAAGGAAGACCAUUGAUGUGGACCUUGGCCAAAAGAUGACCGCUUAUGUGUAAUAUUAUAUAUUGUUCUCGAGUAUUGAAAGUUAUGAAAUUAAUGUGAUAUGGACUUAUCUUUGUUUUGUUUUCAGGAAAGGUGAAGGACAAUGUUGAGAUUCAUGGGACAAUGGGAAGACCUAUGAACAAGCAAAAAAAGCAGAGAUUCUAGUGCUUGCCAGAUUGUUUCACUCCUAUGCUGGUAUACCACACAAAAAUCUUGAGAAUAUUAUAAAAGUUUCUUGCUUUUAUUAGUAAGUUUGCUUUGAUGUGUAGGAUGUGCGGAUAAGAUUCAUGGACUAAUUAACAGUUCCAGUUGAUGGAAACUAUCAUGUCCAGACACUGCAUGAACCAAAAGGUGUUGCUGGACAGAUCAUUUCAUGGAACUUUCCGCUUCUUAUGGUUGCUUGGAAAGUUGGUCUUUCUCUUUCUUGUGGUAAAACCAUUGUCCUCAAAACCGCCGAACAAACUCCCCUCACUGCUUUUUACGGAAAGCUUUUCCUUGAAGUAAUCAAUGUUCCUUUCACCUGCUACUUACCAUUCUUGCUACUAAAAUAAAAAGCUGUAAGUAAACAAUGUUUCUUGAAAUGUAUGAUAGGCAGGUCUUCCUCUUGGUGUUAUAAACAUAGUUUCUGAAUUUGGUCCAAUCGCAGGGACUUUCCUCACGAGCCUCAUGGGUUUGGCUCUUACCAAAUUUUCUAAGUACAUCUUCACUUUUUGUUCUGGCGUAUAUGUGUCUUCUUUUAUUGUUUGUUUCUCUUUAAUUAAGAAAAGUAGGGAUUGGCUAUAAGCUCUAGCUGUGUGGUUGAUUCAGAACAAUGAUUGGCACGCGCUGUAUCCUUUGACUUAUUUUUUUUUCUUUUUCUUAAUCGCAUCUCACCAUAUUUUUCCUCUCUUUUGCUUAAUCGCACGGUACCAUACUCAAUUUUGCUCUCGAUUGUUGUCAGGUUAAUAUAAUAGAUACUCGACUCAUCACUGAAGUUGAGGGAGGGAAGUCUCUUAGAAAACCAACAUAUAGAAGCUAUAUCAGUUUAGAGAAACAGGGAAGAAGCAAGAGAGGAGAGAUGCACAUACAUAGCCAAGAAGAUGCAAGAACUUAACAAAGAGCAGAGGAGGAAAAGUCACUAGCUUUAGCUGCUCAAGCGGAGCUCAGAAACGCGAAGGAAGAGUCAGGUUAAGCGAAGACAGGAGUCUCUUCAAUAGAAAGUCAAUUGAGGCGGAAAGGGAAAUGAGUGGGGUGAUGGAAUUCAUGGACCAUAGUCAGCUACAAUGCCUAUACAAUGUGGUCGCUGAAGCCUUCGAGAGAGAAGGAGACUUGAAACAAAUGGAAUAUUUAUUAAGGCUACUGCAAUCAGAGAGAAUAAAACAAAGAUGUGUUCACCUUUGUCAUUUUAUAAGGAUUUAUGACAUAUAAGUGACUUUGAAGGGUACUUCUCAAAACUUUAUGCUAAUCUCAGAUUAGUCUAUAAAUGAUAAACUGUACAAAUGAUUUAUUAACUUUUUAUGCCUGGUUUGUCAUUUCUUGACAUCCGUUUCAACUCUUUCUCCGGUUCAAUCCCACCACAAAUCUUUGGUCAGAACCUCGACGUUCUCUUCAUUAAUGACAACACCUUUACUGCGAGCCUCCCGGAGAUACCUGGCGAUAGUCACAUCCUUUUUCUAACUUUAGCAGACAAUAAGUUCAACGGUCCUCUCCCGAGAAGCAUCCUAAGAUCUAUGACAACGUUAACCGAGGUACUUUUCUUGAAUAACGACUUUACG